Molecule: ribosomal RNA, 195 nt
Filed under: Triticum aestivum (bread wheat)
Lineage: Eukaryota; Viridiplantae; Streptophyta; Magnoliopsida; Poales; Poaceae
Description: partial small subunit ribosomal RNA
Source: RNAcentral
AUGUCAAGCAUCUUCGAGAAGUCUUACAACUCUUGCGCAAUGACCAAUGGCAGAUCAAAGCUUCCAAAUGCUUUUUCGCUCAACGAGAACUCUCCUAUCUGGGAUUUGUCAUCAGUGAACAAGGGGUUUCCACAGAACCUGAUAAAAUCAAGCAAGUGCAACAGUGGCCUCUUCCCAUCAAUGUCAAACAGCUAA